CAGGUAUCAAAAGCUGGAUUGGUUGUAAAGCAAUGUACAUGCAACAAAUCGCUUGAAUUACUGAUUUUUCCUUGGAAAAUAAAAUGUCCCAGCAGUAAAUCAGGUGUAUGAGCCUGAUCAAUCAUUAUAUUUCCCUUUUCGCUAAAGGAUAUUGCACUAGAGGUAGUAAGACUGGAAUUCGCCUUCGCACAAUUACAAAACCCUUCGAUGUUCGACAGACAACAACUUAAAAGCAAUUGAUGCAGAAGCCUCGCAGAUACUAAAUGUGCCUCUUUCAUGAACAACAUAUUCAACAUGUCUGCUGUCUUGAUCAACAAGUUUGGAAGCAUUGGCUUCUGCUGGUCUCCCACCAAGCUCCAUGGAAUUCUUAAGAUGGUUCUUCUCAUUAUAGUGUUUCUUUGCACUUCCUGCACUGAAAAUCUUGUCACUACUUUUUAGAUGUUCUUUCUGAAGUUGCGAUGUAUUGCAUAUCAAAAUUAUUUUGCUCAUGAAAUGUAGAGUUUUGGAAGAUGUCUUUAUCAAUAUUAUUCA
Non-coding RNA from Phoenix dactylifera (date palm), 531 nucleotides. Lineage: Eukaryota; Viridiplantae; Streptophyta; Magnoliopsida; Arecales; Arecaceae. The record is from RefSeq and is a predicted model, not a curated record.